Molecule: ribosomal RNA, 429 nt
Filed under: Bacteroidota bacterium
Lineage: Bacteria; Pseudomonadati; Bacteroidota
Description: Bacteroidetes bacterium partial 16S ribosomal RNA
Rfam family: Bacterial small subunit ribosomal RNA
Source: RNAcentral
UAGGGAAUCUUCCGCAAUGGACGCAAGUCUGACGGAGCAACGCCGCGUGAGUGAAGAAGGAUUUCGGUUCGUAAAACUCUGUUGUUAGAGAAGAACAGCGCAUAGAGUAACUGUUAUGCGUGUGACGGUAUCUAACCAGAAAGCCACGGCUAACUACGUGCCAGCAGCUGCGGUAAUACGUAGGUGGCAAGCGUUGUCCGGAUUUAUUGGGCGUAAAGCGAGCGCAGGCGGUCAAUUAAGUCUGAUGUGAAAGCCCCCGGCUCAACCGGGGAGGGUCAUUGGAAACUGGUUGACUUGAGUGCAGAAGAGGAAAGUGGAAUUCCAUGUGUAGCGAUGAAAUGCGUAGAUAUAUGGAGGAAAACCAGUGGCGAAGGCGACUCUCUGGUCUGUAACUAACACAAAGGCUCGAAAGCGUGGGUAGCAAACAGG